This 909-nucleotide ribosomal RNA is filed under the name uncultured bacterium. RNAcentral's name for it is "bacterial SSU rRNA". It matches the Rfam family "Bacterial small subunit ribosomal RNA", at positions 8 to 916 of the family's 1533-position model. The record is from RNAcentral.
AGAGUUUGAUCCUGGCUCAGGACGAACGCUGGCGGCGUGCCUAACACAUGCAAGUCGAACGGGAUCCAUGCCAUGAAGUUUUCGGAUGGAUUGGUGUGGUGAGAGUGGCGAACGGGCGAGUAACGCGUGAGCAACCUACCUCGUACUGGGGGAUAACGUCGGGAAACCGGCGCUAAUACCGCAUAAGACUACGAUGUCGCAUGGCGUUGUAGUCAAAGCUCCGGCGGUACGAGACGGGCUCGCGUCCGAUUAGCUAGUUGGUAGGGUAACGGCCUACCAAGGCGACGAUCGGUAGCCGGACUGAGAGGUCGGCCGGCCGCAUUGGGACUGAGACACGGCCCAGACUCCUACGGGAGGCAGCAGUGGGGAAUAUUGCGCAAUGGGGGAAACCCUGACGCAGCGACGCCGCGUGAAGGAAGAAGGCCUUCGGGUUGUAAACUUCUUUGGCAGGGGACGAAGAAAGACGGUACCCUGAGAACAAGCCACGGCUAACUACGUGCCAGCAGCCGCGGUAAUACGUAGGUGGCGAGCGUUGUCCGGAAUUACUGGGCGUAAAGGGCGUGUAGGCGGGGGGACAAGUCAGAUGUGAAAUACCGCAGCUUAACUGCGGGGCUGCAUCUGAAACUGUUCUUCUUGAGUGUCGGAGAGGAAAGUGGAAUUCCCAGUGUAGCGGUGAAAUGCGUAGAGAUUGGGAGGAACACCAGUGGCGAAGGCGGCUUUCUGGACGACAACUGACGCUGAGGCGCGAAAGCGUGGGGGAGCAAACAGGAUUAGAUACCCUGAUAGUCCACGCUGUAAACGAUGGAUACUAGGUGUAGGAGGUAUCGACCCCUUCUGUGCCGGAGUUAACACAAUAAGUAUCCCGCCUGGGGAGUACGGCCGCAAGGUUGAAACUCAAUGAAUUGACGG